GACGAACGCUGGCGGCGUGCUUAACACAUGCAAGUCGAACGGAAAGGCCCUGCUUUUGUGGGGUGCUCGAGUGGCGAACGGGUGAGUAACACGUGUGUAACCUGCCCUUGACUUUGGGAUAACUUCAGGAAACUGGGGCUAAUACCGGAUAGGAGCUCCUGCUGCAUGGUGGGGGAUGGAAAGAUUCGGCGGUUGGGGAUGGACUCGCGGGUUAUCAGCUUGUUGGUGGGGUAGUGGCUGACCAAGGCUUUGACGGGUAGCCGGCCUGAGAGGGUGACCGGCCACAUUGGGACUGAGAUACGGCCCAGACUCCUACGGGAGGCAGCAGUGGGGAAUAUUGCACAAUGGGCGGAAGCCUGAUGCAGCAACGCCGCGUGCGGGAUGACGGCCUUCGGGUUGUAAACCGCUUUCGCCUGUGACGAAGCGUGAGUGACGGUAAUGGGUAAAGAAGCACCGGCUAACUACGUG
This 468-nucleotide ribosomal RNA is filed under the name uncultured bacterium. RNAcentral's name for it is "partial 16S ribosomal RNA". It matches the Rfam family "Bacterial small subunit ribosomal RNA", at positions 28 to 507 of the family's 1533-position model. The record is from RNAcentral.